ACCCUCCAGGUUCAGCGAUGUAAAAGAAAGUUCCUGUCUUCCAGGAGUGCCCAAGUGCCAUCGAACCGGGUCAGUGAGGACAGUAAGGAGUCCUGGAUGCUGGGUCUUACCCAUACAGGGGAGAGCAAGAAGACCCUCCAGAAGAGCUACUGAGUAUAUGGAUUCACCUUGUCUCCAGAAGAUCACAUUUCGGAAUUUCAGGAUCGUGACGUCGGCAUAGCCUGCAUUGUCUGCAUUAUGACUUCUCAGUAAUGAAACCGCACCGGACAAACUGCAGGCCAGAACUACCAUCCUCAGCUCUGCCCUCUUGCUACCAGUUUUGCGGAACCUGGGCAGCAAGAGAUAAGCCAAUAUAUCUGCCUGUGGAGCCUACAGUUAAAAAUAAUUAUAGAGAACAUGGUGAUGCUUCAGAAACUGUCAGGUGAUGCAACAUUUUCAGAUCAUACUUUAUUACGUUAUUCGGUUGUAG
Molecule: long non-coding RNA, 469 nt
Filed under: Ursus maritimus (polar bear)
Lineage: Eukaryota; Metazoa; Chordata; Mammalia; Carnivora; Ursidae
Description: lncRNA (ENSUMAG00000005951.1)
Source: RNAcentral